This 1156-nucleotide long non-coding RNA is filed under the name Anas platyrhynchos platyrhynchos (common mallard). Its description in RNAcentral is "lncRNA (ENSAPLG00000024146.1)". The record is from RNAcentral. Lineage: Eukaryota; Metazoa; Chordata; Aves; Anseriformes; Anatidae.
CUUGGAUCUGGUACCUGUAAACAAAAUCCCCUGACCAUCACACGGAUAUAUUCUUUAGCUACAAAUAUGGUCCAGGUCUGCUGUUAAAACUGGGACACUGGCGGCCAGGAAUACAAGAGCAAUUGAGACAGGAAAAGGUAAGAGAAUGUAAUUGUGAUCUAGCUGUUACAGUACUGCGUUGCAGAUUUCCAUGGUCCUAGGUCCUGUUUCCCUAAUUAGCCUCAUUUAAAUCCAAUAUAAAGUAUUGGAACAAUUAGGAACAAUUUCCAACUACAUAAACCCUAAAAAGUAUUAGAGAUUGUGAUUUUUACAGCAUAUUACUUGUAUAAAUGUAGCAUUUAUAUACUUUUAUAGUGUAUGGAAGGUACACAAAGAUUGACUGAUGUUAUUGCAAUAAUGUCUUGUAGUGAUGAUGUAAUGUCAAUUGAAGUGUGUAUCAUUUAUGGAGUACUGAAUUAAAGGCUUCCAUAUCCUGAAAAUUCUUUACUAUCAGUCGUGGACUUCUGGAAACUGGGCAUAGCCAUAGGGAUGGAACAGAUGUGUCUGCAUCAGUUGUUCUAGUGCUUAUGACGUACUCAGAUGUUCUCUGAGGGUUUUCAUCUCUGCUAGGAUGAAGCUGCUAGCAAUAACAGUGGGCGCUGGUGUCAGGAAUCAAUAUACAGAGAUGAGGAAUCAUGCUACAGACAGAUUCCAGGAGAAGAAUGCAAAGAUCAAAGUGGGACAGCAAAAAGAGAGCAAGUCAGAGAAAGGUUCCACAUCUUCUCUUGACAAGGAAAUGAUGAGGCUCUUCAUUGUGGAUUGCUAGCAGCUCAACUAAGGAACAAUUAAAAGAAAGAAAGCACUGAUAUCCUUCCUUUUAGUCACAUAGUAUAUUCACUCACUGGACAAUUUCUAUGACUAUGCGUCACAGUUUACAGCUCUGUAAUAUUUUUGAAGUGGUUAGUCAUUGUUUCUGUUCAAUUCCUUUAACAAUUCUUAGGUGACUAACUUAAGCUUUCUGCAAAUGUGAAAAAUUAUUGUUCUAGAAUGCAGUCAUUUAUGGCUGCAGGCUGAAAAACCCUACAAGACUUCAUCAGAUAUCAACAGCAGGAAAAAAAAAAAAAAAAAAAAAAACAUGAUUUUUUUUCUGCUAAAUAAAAAAAAAUGUUUUUAUUCA